AAGGCCUUAGCUUAAUUAAAGCACCUGAUUUGCAUUCGGGAGAUACAGGUUAAUAUCCUGUUGGUCUUA
Molecule: non-coding RNA, 69 nt
Organism: Rhea pennata
Lineage: Eukaryota; Metazoa; Chordata; Aves; Rheiformes; Rheidae
Source: the annotation of a RefSeq genome assembly